Carica papaya (papaya) is the source of this 268-nucleotide non-coding RNA. NCBI's taxonomy places the organism in Eukaryota, Viridiplantae, Streptophyta, Magnoliopsida, Brassicales, Caricaceae. The record is from RefSeq and is a predicted model, not a curated record.
CUCCGAUAUCUGGUGUUGAUCGGAACAUGGCCUCUCAACUCCCUGAAAAAUGCACUACGGAUUUUCAACCAUGUGAUCUAAAUUAGAAGCGCAAAAGCGUUUACAGAGAGCUCAGUUGAUUUUUAGGCGUAACACUAUUGUUGAAGUAAUGCUGCUUAGAAUAAUAAAUUGUUGAGAUUAUGUACUGAAAUCCAGUAGGAUUAUUAUCUAAUUUUUGUUACUUUCUUUUUUUUUAUAAAGAAAAAACUCUUUUGAGUGAUGAUUGAAA